RNAcentral lists this long non-coding RNA (207 nucleotides) under Gossypium barbadense (sea-island cotton). Its description in RNAcentral is "long non-coding RNA (GBAR_LNC015888)". The record is from RNAcentral. Lineage: Eukaryota; Viridiplantae; Streptophyta; Magnoliopsida; Malvales; Malvaceae.
AUGCAUAUUGAGAUUUUGGUACUAAUACUAAUUCCCAAUUUUCAAUUGCAAUCCAUCUAAAAUAGCCUUUUUAUCUCCAUUCGAUAUAUAACGUUGUUGGCCUUUUCAUUUUUAGGCAUAUUCAAAGUCUGCAGUUUACAUGAGCCAGUUGAGUGCAAUUCUUUUUCAUUUUUUACAACUUUUUCUCACCAACAAUUUAUUUGUUAC